AAACCGUGGUGGAGACAUUCUCUUAUGUACCUUUUAUAACGAUCCCAAGCUUCAUGAAAAAGUUCUCCUUCUUUUUGUUGGAAUCUAUAAAUCUUGUUUCUAAUGAAGUUU
Small nucleolar RNA from Eutrema salsugineum, 111 nucleotides. It matches the Rfam family "Plant small nucleolar RNA R71". From Rfam's summary of the family: R71 is a member of the C/D box family of snoRNAs containing the C (UGAUGA) and D (CUGA) box motifs. The record is from Rfam. NCBI's taxonomy places the organism in Eukaryota, Viridiplantae, Streptophyta, Magnoliopsida, Brassicales, Brassicaceae.